This 20942-nucleotide long non-coding RNA is filed under the name Coffea arabica (coffee). RNAcentral's name for it is "long non-coding RNA (CARA_LNC006727)". Lineage: Eukaryota; Viridiplantae; Streptophyta; Magnoliopsida; Gentianales; Rubiaceae. The record is from RNAcentral.
AAGAAAUCCGCAACUAUCUAUGGAAACCUUGUAUCUCUACCUUCCACUUUUCCUAGCAUUAUACAUCUUCACCAAGCACUUCCUCAACAAAAUCCGAAACCUUCCACCUAGUCCCAUCCUUAAUCUCCCCGUCCUCGGCCACCUCCUCCUCAUCAAGAAGCCUCUUCACCGAGGCCUAGCCAAGAUUUCCGACCGUCAUGGCCCGGUCCUCCUCCUGGAAUUCGGCUCACGCCCAGUCCUCCUUGUCUCCUCCGCUUCUGCAGCCGAAGAAUGCCUCAACAAGCACGACAUCGUUUUCGCCAACCGCCCGCGUCUGCUGGCUGGAAAACAUCUGGGAUACAAUUAUACCUCAAUGGCAUGGACGUCCUACGGGGAUCACUGGAGAAAUCUACGGCGGAUAGCUUCACUGGAGAUCUUGUCUUCCCACAGGCUUCAAACGCUUCACGGGAUACGUGUUGAUGAAGUAAAAUUGAUGCUGAAAAGGCUGUUUUCAGCUUCAGAAAACAAGAAAAGCGUGGAUAUGAGGGCCCUUUUCUUUGAGCUGAUGUUGAACGUGAUGAUGAGGAUGAUUGCUGGGAAGAGGUAUUAUGGGGAGAAUGUUGGGGAAGUUGAGGAGGCUAGGAGGUUUAGGGAGAUUGUAGAGGAGACGAUGAUAAUUGGUGGAGCUUCGAAUAUGGGAGAUUUCUGGCCGGUUUUGAGGUGGUUAAAAGUGGGAAAGAAGGAGAAGGCCUUGAGGGUUUUGCAGGAGAAUAGGGAUCAAUUCGUGCAGGAGUUGAUCAAGGGGUUUAGGAGUGCAAAAGAUGCAGAAAAUGGUGGCGGCGAUGCAGAGGAAACAGGGGAAAAGAAGAAAACGUUGAUUGAAGUUUUGUUGACCCUGCAACAGAAGGAGCCUGAGUAUUACAAGGAUGAAAUCAUUAGAAGCCUUAUGCUGGUAUGGUUACUCUGAUAAAUUUCUUUCUGGCUCUUCUUCUUCUUAUUAAUGUAGCUAAUUUGUUAUCAUUUCUAUGUUCCCUAGAAAAUGUCAAACUUCGAUUAAGGACAAAUUAAUAGAAAUUGAAAGUAAUUCGAAGAUUAAGUGACUAAAUCUAGAUGGCCAAAAUUUGCUUUCUUUGAGUAUAAAAUAUAAGCUUACUUCAGUUGUCGUACAGUAAUUCGAUUGCUUCCAUUAUUGUGCAAAGUUAUGAUGAAUAAGAAAAAUUCACUGGUACAGUUCAAGAAUAGAGUUGACCGCACGGUGUGAACAGGAGUAGAUCCCAACGUAUUGGGCGGGGGGCCCACUUUUCUUCGGUGUUGGCAUUUGACAGUGAAGCAGAAAGAAAGUAUGAUGUCUAGCCAACCGAUGUCUAAAGUUGGUUGACUAGAUUUUAGAAGCAAAUGUCACUGAUCAUGCUCUUCAUUCUACCGUUUACCACUUUCUUCUUCUUUUCUCAAGUGCAUUUCACCAUUGACCGCUUUCGUAUUGCAGGUUUUACUAGCAGCAGGUACCGAUACAUCAGUGGGAACAAUGGAGUGGGCAUUGUCACUAAUGCUAAACAAUCCAUCAACUUUGGAGAAGGCAAAAGCAGAAAUUGACAGAAUCAUAGGAAAAGAACGUUUAUUAGAUGAAUCAGAUGUGGCUAAUCUACCCUAUCUCCGGUGCAUAAUUAGUGAAACAUUGAGGAUGUUUCCAGCAGGGCCUAUAAUGCUACCCCACGAAUCCUCCGAGGAAUGUGUGGUUGGGGGUUACCGUGUGCCUGGGGGGACAAUGUUGAUUGUCAAUUUGUGGGCUAUCCAAAAUGAUUCCAAGAAUUGGGAGGAUCCAAGAAAAUUCAAGCCUGAAAGAUUUGAAGGGCUUGAAGGGACCAGAGAUGGCUACAAAUUAAUGCCAUUUGGUUCUGGUAGAAGAGGUUGUCCUGGGGAGGGAUUGGCCAUGCGCAUGGUUGGAUUUGCUUUGGGAUCAAUUAUUCAGUGCUUUGAUUGGAGCAGAAUCAGUGAGGAGAUGGUAGAUUUGGCUGAGGGGCCUGGACUGACUCUGCCUAAGGCUCAACACUUAGUCGCCAAUUGUCGAGCACGACCUGGAAUCAUGAGCCUUCUUUCUCAAAUUUAGACUGCGACGAGGAUGUAUCUUGACUCUUGAGAAAGGGUGGGCAGUAUUUGCCUCGUCUCUUCUUCUUGUUUGAAGAAAAAAUAUGUACUAGUAAAAAAAAAAAAGUCUUGUUUUAUAUAUUUCACUUGUUUCUUUAAGGGAAAAAAUGACGGAGUAAUUUACUUUAUAGUAGUUGCUAUUUGAUGACGCUAAUUUUUGAAUUUCCUUGUUUUAAGUUGGAAUUUUCACAGCACAAUAAUUAUACCUUGCAACUCCUAACUGAAAACAACUCAAACCAUAUAUUUAUUCAUUCUCCUAAUGUCCACACUAAGCAAUAUCUUAGUUGGCAACUUCUUGAUCCGAAAGUUUUCUUUAGUGUUGAUAAUCAAUGAGAGAUAAAAAAAAAUGAGUAUCUAAAAAUAUAAAGGUCUAUCUAUUUGGACAACCGUUCUUAAGACAUAUUUCAGAUAAAAAAAUACAAGAUUAAUUAGAAUAAAUAAAUAUAAAGAGGGGCAGGAAAGAUUAAAUAGACAAACAUAUAUAAGUACAAGGAAGGAUAAUAAUUGUAGUAAAUGUGUGUGUAUAUAUAUAUAUAUAAUAAAUUAGAUAAAUUUUAAAUGUAUUAACGAGUGUCUAGUAAACACCCGAAAAAAUCCAAAAUAUGACGAUUUUUUUCCGUAAGAAAACUCGAAUAUGAGACGUCUCAGUUGCACUUCGUCCCUAGAAACGCCCAACCAAUAUCCCUUCCCUUCUAAAGGCCGCUGCCGCUAGUGCUGAUGACCAGGGCAUGGUCGAUAUGAAAUCAGCCUUCUUCGAACUCACACUGAACAUUAUGAUUAGGAUGAUUGCUGGAAAACGGUAUUCUGGUGAUGGCUCAGGAAAAAUAGGGGGAGUCGCGAGCUUUCAAGAGAUGGUUAAAGAGAGUGUUAAAGUCAGCGGAUCAACAAAUGCUGCAGAUUUUGUUCCGCUACUGAGGUGGAUAGGGCAAAAUAAGCUUGAAAGUCAUCUGAAAACGUUGCAGAUGAAGAGGGAAAAGUUCCUACAAGAUUUGAUUGAAAAGCACGGAAGCAUCACCAGUCAUCGUGAGAACAAGACACUGAUUGAUGUUCUCUUAUCUCACCCAGAGACAGAACCAGAGUACCAUACGGAUCAAAUCAUCAGAGGCUUGGUUCAGGUGAGUCAAGUUUUAAGGAGAAUAGUAGAUCGGUCCCUCGAAAGUGCCAACAUUCCAUAAAAUCAAGUAUAUUAACAACCUAAGAGAAUCCACCUCAAGCGCUAGCUAGCUGUCAUACUUGAAGGGUAGGAUCAUAAGUUCAUAGCAUUAACUUCCCUGCUUUUUCAGCUUUUAACAAUCAGUCAAGAUAACUCAAAAGCAUGUAUCAUGUGUUAUCCGGUAUUGAUAGAGAUAAUAAAUCAAAUUUCGUCUAAUCUUAAUAGCUGAUAAUGUUAUCGGCGGGAAGUGACGCAACAUCUGGAACUAUGGAAUGGGCACUGUCAGUUCUGCGGAACAACCCAGAGGCUUUAAAGAAAGCACAAGAAGAAAUAGACUUUCAAAUAGGCCAAUCAAGGCUGAUAACUGACUCCGACCUUGGCCAGCUUCCUUACCUUCAAGCAAUAAUAAACGAAACCUUUCGUAUGUAUCCUGUGUCCCCUUUUAUCUCCCUGCAUGAAUCAUCCGAAGAAUGUACAGUUGAAGGCUUUGGUAUCCCUCGUGGGACAUUGCUCCUAGUGAACCUUUGGGCUAUUAAUUAUGAUCCUGAAAUAUGGGAAGAACCCACAAAAUUCAAACCUGAAAGGUUCAUGAACUUGGAAGAUCAGAGAUAGAGAUUCGAGUUUAUGCCAUUCGGGCUUGGCCGAAGAGGAUGUCCUGGAGAAAAUUUUGCUCGACGAGUUGUGGGGUUGGCAUUGGGUUCACUUAUUCAAUGCUUUGAGUGGGAAAGACCUGGGGAAGAAUUGGUGGACAUGAGUGAAGGAGCUGGGCAUACUAUGCCUAGAGCUCAACCGCUGCUGGCAAAGUAUAGGCCACCCCCUGAAAUGGUUAAGCUUCUUUGAGUUGUGAUCUGAGUGUUUGACAAUGUUUUCUUCCUACAACACCUAGACGACUGUGGAGAAACAAGUGAACAAGAAAACAGAGGAUGUCUCUCUGUACGUGUUUGUUUUAACUUUUAAUACUACUAUUUUAUCUCUUUCAACUUCGCUUUGUGUUGCUGCAAGAAAGUAUAAAAAAGCAAAGGGUUUACUCUAGUUUCUUGCUUUCUCCAAAGAUCCAGCAUUUUCAUGUGUGUUUCUAUUAUUUGUUAACCAAUGGUUCAGAAUUCAAUCGACGGAGAAGCAAAAUUUUGCCAAGCAUGAGAAAUUCCCAAAAUUCUGAUCAAAUUUAAAUUAUUUGUAAGAUGCUUUUGGUUGCAUGUUGUACUUUAGAGGGUCCUCACGUUCUGUAAUUUAGAGCUUUCUUGCAUUCUAUAACUGCGAGGUAAGGUAAGCAAAAUUUAAAUUGCCCCCAGGGCAUAUGGCGUAGCGGUUGAGGGGUCGGUCUUGAGUUGUUGACUUCUUCACUGAUUGGGGUUCGAUUUGUACCCGCUACGCUGCACAUCCUGACUCACCCGGGAAAACUGUAUGGAGCUAUCGGCUUCCCUCCAAUUUGGUAUGCCGGCUCGGGUCCAAAGGGUUCGGAUCGGGGCAUGUUCCGAAUUACCAAAAAAAAACUUAAAUUUUGAUCAAGUUUAUCUGCUUUGGAAAAACCCCAUUCAACAGGAGGUUGCCCACUGCAAAAAAGCACCCCUAUUGUACAAUUUUUCAAACAUCAUCAAAAUCUUGUUUUUGAGGUUUCAAAGCCGCUAAAUUGAACAUUAGCUCUGAAUCGGAUAAUUAUGUUCAAUGGUGAUGUUUUGCUGAUAAUUACUCUUUAGUUAGUCCAGUGCGCAUGUACGCAUAGUCCAUUCGAUGCCCGUGGGAAACAGGUGUUACAAGGUCCAUGCAUUUUUCAACCAAAGAUAAGUCAAAGAGCGAAUUGCGCGAAAUGUCACUAAACUAUUUCAAAGUGCCGGUUCUGAUCAUUAAACUUUUUUAUUAGCGCGAAAUGUCACUGAACUAGUAAAUCUAUACCGUUUUGGUCACUCCGUGUAUUUGUGCCGUUAGGAGAGACGGAAAUUAACUUUUUGAGGGGUAAUUUCGUCUACACAAUAGUUAAAAAAUUUAUGCCUUCAUUCUUCUUCACCCACAACCAUAGUGCUAUACCAUAUUUACAUUCCCAGCCUUCCCGUACGCAUCAAUCAUCACAGAAUAGGUAACCUCAUCCGGUUCACACCCAAAAGACGGCAUUUUUUCGAACCACUGGACGGCUUUCUCAGGUAAAGAAGACAGCCUGGCGCAGCUAAUUAUGGUGGAAAGGAGGAGUAUUGGACCAGCAAUCAAAGAAUCAAGAGAUGAAUUCGCUGAAGAAGGGUUCUUUUCGUCCUCUGGGGCUGCUGCUUGGCCUUGUACCUGUCCCAUAUCUCAUCGAGAUUGGAUGCUACGGAGAUGAAGUAAGAGGAAAAGGCAACAGCAGCAACCAAAAAAUUGGGAUGGACGAGAAUUUUGAAGUUGGAGUUGGGGUUGGGUGCUAUCUGCAACCCAUGUAAAGUUGUGGAGUGAUUUGCGAUUAAUCUGUUAAAUGUUAUUGUGCCAACUGCCAACAGAAUUGGAAUGGACAUCAAAGUCCAGUGUAGGCCGACGACGGACGGAGCUCUCUAUGCCCACCCACUUCUGCAACAAAACCACCGAACUUUACAUUUAAUUUCUCAUUCUUUUCACUCUUUCCGCAUCGUCAUUUUCGCCACUCCCAACCCCAGAGGUAUGUAAAGGUGACAUUAUCGGGCUUAACUCCUCUCUCAAUCAUAUCCGUAAACAAUUUCUCGGCUCUGUCCAAGUCUCUACAUUUUCUAAACACCUUGAAGGUAACAUUAUACAAAAUCACUUCUUUCUUCAACUUAAGCCUUUCCAGAAAGUAACUCAGCACCAAAGGCGCAGUUUCAGAGUUGGACAUGUUAUUGAGCACAACGGCAGCAUCUUGCUCUACAACUUUGCCACCCAAAUUAGCCAAAAUACUAAUAACGUCAGCUUCUACAGGGUCACACGAGUCCAAUUGUUGGGAAGCUUGGACUAAAGAAGCAUACCUGAAAUCGUAGGAAUUGCGCCUGAGCUUUGAUGCCCUGGAGCUGUUGGGGUUGACCCAGAUAUAGCUUUUUGAGGAAGAAGAGAUGGUUUUAGCAUCUGGGCGGUGAGGAAUUUGGGAAAUUGAGGGGGAUUGUUGUUGGGAAGCCGGUAUAGAGAGGGAAGGUUUUGGAUGGGGCUUGAGAGGAGGAAAAGCGAGGGCGUUAUGGGGGAUGAUUCUGAGUUGGUGGAGGUGAGUGGGAUAAAGAGAGUUACAGAAGAGGUGUGGGUGGCGAGAGAGAUGAGACGGCGAAUAGGCGGCGGCCACCAUUCUUCUCUCUACUCUUCUUCCUUCCUUCUCAGUCGUCACUCACUCAGCAGAGCAGUCAGCAGCAUUUGAAUUUUCUUCUUUUUUACAACUAUGAAAAAUUUCGCCUGCAUUUUUUGGUUGAAGUUUGAUGGUGCCGCCAUUCAGAUCAGCCAUCUCCUUUAUGUCUUUGCCGGAUACGGAACCAUUGAUUAUGUAAAAGCUUCAAGAAAAAGGCUGUGCUGACAAAUUUGCCCCUCAAAAAGUUGAUUUCCGUCUCUCCUAACGGCACAAAUACACGGAGUGACUAAAACGGUAUAGAUUUACUAGUUCAGUGACAUUUCGCGCUAAUAAAAAAGUUUAGUGACCAGAACCGGCACUUUGAAAUAGCUUAGUGACAUUUCGCGCAAUUCGCUCUAAGUCAAAAAAAUAUUUGUCUGCGGAGCGGAACUCCAUUUUCAUAUAAAAAAAAAUGCUGAAAGUCGCCAUAUCUGUUUCAGUACUACCACUCUACCAGUUCCAUCUGACAGCUCACGACCGCAAGGGGGGGAAAAAAGACAAAUAAAAACAAGGAUCUAUGUCAAUCGCAUGUUAUAUGAAAUCUUAACACAAGAUUUAAGAUUGCAAGAUAUCAGCUGAUACAAGGUGGCCUAAGCUGAAGGCGUCUUGCUCCCUAGAAGCUAUAUCACUGAAACAGCAGGGAAUUGUUUAGAAUAUUACAUUGGAUAAGCAUUUUUUUUUUUUUUUGGUAAAUAAAGAUGCAUUAAAAAUAAAUCAAGUCAACAGAGUGCAAAUUAAGGUACAGUCAUCCGUGGGGUGGAAACCCCCUUUAAGUCUUGCAAAAGUAAGGGAAGUACAAAAUUAGGACAUAAUUCAAAAAAAGUGAAGUCUUGAGUGUUGCUUCUUCCCCAGUUGGCAAGGAUGUCUGCACAUUUGUUUGCUUCUCUAUAAUUAUGGUGAAAACAUACUUUCUGGAAUGUAGUCAAUAGCUCCCUGCAAUCAAGAAUAAUAGGUGCAAGUUCAUGAGAAAUAAGAUUAUUUGACUUACACAAGGAGAAUAUAAAGGCAGAGUCCAUCUCCACUUCGAGAGAGUGGAUGUUGAGUUUUUUUGCAAGUUGUAAGCCUUCUCUAAGAGCCCAACAUUCAGCAGAAGGAACUGAACAGAAGCCUAAAUUUCUUGCAAAGCCCGCAAUCCAUAUCCCAUUUGAGUCACGAAUAAUGCCGCCAGCUCCUGCCUGGUUUGUUGGUCCAGAGACUGAACCAUCAGUGUUGAGCUUGGCGAAACCUAUAGCAGGGGGGAUCCAUCUGAUGAAUUUUUCUUGUCUAGGGGAUCUGGAGAAGUGAGAACCAGGCCCUAGUAGGCUUCUGUUCCAGAUGCACGCCUCCGAGCAAGGAUGUAAAUGAAUCUAACCAAACUGAACACCCUAGUAUUCAAGUUUAUUUGAUUAUUUUAACAAGUUUGUAAUUUUAUUCAAAUUUAAUUUAUUUAUUUAUCGAACCAAGUUUGUUUGAUUAUUUUACCGAAUUUGAACGAGCUAUUUAUUGAAGAGUGUGUUUGGAUAGGAGAUUAUUUGAAAUAUUAUUUAGAAUAAUUACUGUAGCACUUUUUGUAAUGUAAUGUAUGUAAAAUAAAAAGAUGAUUGAGAAGAUAAAAAGAUGUGUUGGAAAUUGUAUUUGUGAUGUAAGCAAAUAAUUUCUAGCCAUUAUUUGGCUAUCCAAACACACUGAAUAUAAAACGAUAUUCAAUCUUAAUUUGACUAGUUAGCAAAUCAAACUCGAAUGAACUCAAACCAAACUGAACUCGAUUCAAAUAUCAAGUAGAUUGAUUUAUCUUUCAACAUUUCGGAGUUGUUAUCCAUGUGUUUGAGAAUGUCAUCCUCCUGUAUUGUGUUUUGGUUUUUCAAGUCCCGAACGAUGUUUUUUUGUUGCAGCAAAGGAGGAAAGUUUUAGAGAGCUUAGGAUAUUACAAUAAAAUAGCAGUCAGGAGUAGCGAAGGAGGAAACAUAUGAUUCAGCCGAAAGGGGAACGAAAAGAAGAAGAAGAAGAAGAAGAAGAAGAGGAGAAGUUAUGGUUUUAAUUUAUUUGAAGAAUUGCCAUAUAUAUAUAUAUAUAUAUAUAUAUGUAUUUUAGGUAAAAGAAGAUUAUAUACUAGUAGUAGUUUGGAAAAAUAAGGAAUGCGAUCAUAAUAAGUAAAUGCAAAAAAGUUUGCCGUAAACUCCUUUGAGUGUUUGUAGUUGUCAAAGCUCUUUGUCAGGCUGCCCCCAGUGGUUCGAAAAUGUGCUGAGGACCUCUUUUGAACUAAUUUGUUACAUGGAUGGAAACCAUACGCACACCAAAAGAUUAGAAAUUUUCAUGCUAUCCCUUGUUUCUACAUUUAAUAAUAAUAAUAAAAAAAAGUGGAUGAGGCGUUGAUCUACAAAGUUGAGGUUUUAGAAUUUGGAGAUCUUGAAUUCAAUACUUAUCAAAGUGUGAGUCUCUAAACUUUGUGUUAGUAUUUAUCCCACCAUAUGUAUGUAGAUUAGUUGUAGUUCGAAAUAUUUGUAAUCUCUUAUAUUAGUCCUAUAGUUGUAGAUUAUACACGAUAUUAUCGAAGAAAAUAUUUAAAGAAGAAAAAAAAUGCAAUCUUAGUGCCCGAUAUGUAAAAUUGGUAACCACGAAACAAAUCUUGAUGAAUCCACGAAAUUCACCAUGAUCCCAAUAUAUGGGAAGAACCCACGAAAUUUAAGCCUGAAACGUUUGGGGGAUUCGUGUUUAUGGCAUUUGGGUAUGGUCAAAGAGCAUGUCUUGGUGAAAAUUUAGCUAGACAAGUUGUGAGGUUGGCAUUGGGCUCACUCAUUCAAUGCCUUAAUUGGGAAAGAAUUGGUGGAAAUGAGCGAAGGAGCUGGGUUUACUAUGCCAAGAGUUCAACCGCUGCUGGCAAAGUACAGGCCGCGCCCAGAAAUGGCUUCUUUCUGAGUUGUGAUCCUGGUGUUUUGGGAAUGUUCUUUGCCACCUGCACCACUGGGGAAUCGACUGUACGAGGAAAACAGAGGAUUUCCCACUGUAGUGCGUGCGUACCACGUUGGCUUACCACUACUUUUUAUAUUUUACCUUCACUUGGUCCAUAAUUUUUGCAGCUCAAGGAUGUGAAAAAGUCCGUGCCGUCCUGAUUCCAUUGUAAUGUAAGCUGGUCAAAGCUACAAGCCGGUUAUAUACGACGCUACUCCAAGAAAGGAGAAAAAUAUAAGCAAAGCAAGGAGGCCGUAAAGGAUGGAUAUCAGUAGCAGAUCAUUGACAGAUAAGAUACUAAUAUUCAAGAAUGAGAGGGCCGUAUCCCUUACGUCAAAGGAGUUUUGAAUCUUGAUUACUGAUACAUUCUUGAAAUAACAAUAAUGAAUUACUAGAUAAAAUAGGCAUACGGCAUAAGUAUCAUUCCAACACUUUGGAUUUAACCUCGAUCUCUAUGGAUGCUUCAUACUGCUACCUCCUGCUUUUUCCCUUCCUGUAUUUACUUACCAAUCAAAUCAUCAAAAAGUUCCGGAAUCUCCCACCAAGUCCACCUCUUUCCUUACCCAUAAUUGGCCAUCUUCAUCUCAUCCAGAAACCACUCCACCGAGGACUAGCUAAGAUCUCCGAUAAAUAUGGUCCAAUACAGUUUCUUCAUUUUGGUUCUCGGCCUGUCCUGCUUGUAUCUUCACCCUCAGCUGCAGAAGAAUGCUUCACCAAGAAUGACAUAAUCUUCGCUAAUCGGCCAAGAUUUCUCGCCGGAAAACACCUUGGCUACAACUAUACAACUCUGGGAUGGGUCUCAUAUGGCCAACACUGGCGCAACUUGAGAAGAAUAGCUACUGUGGAGAUCUUAUCUGCUACCCGAAUUCAAGCUUACACGAGCAUCCGUGUUAACGAGGUCCAUUCAUUGAUCAAGUACCUUCUAAUGGCCUCUAAAGCUAGUGACUCUAGCACGGUUGAGAUGAAAUCGGCCUUCUUUGGGCUGACACUUAACAUCAUGAUGAGGAUGAUUGCAGGAAAGCGAUACUACGGCGAUGAUGCCCAGAACAAGGAGGAAGCCGCAAGGUUCAAAGAGAUAGUUAAAGAGACUUUUCAACUCAGUGGGGCGACAAACAUAGCAGAUUAUAUUCCAUUAUUGAAGUUUUUUGGGCAACAGAAGCUUGAAAGCAAGCUGAAGACUUUGCAGGCGAAGAGGGAUCAAUUCUUGCAAGAUUUGAUUGAAGAACACAGAAGAACCGUGAGGAGUUCCGACAGUGAGAAGGGCAACAAAACAAUGAUAGACGUUCUCUUGUCCCUCCAACAGACCGAGUCCGAAUACUACACAGAUGAGAUCGUCAAAGGUAUGAUUGUGGUAAGUAACUAUUUAAUCCUCUCGAUAUCUUAAUCCAUCCGUCUGUUAAGCAUACAGAAAUUCUGAUCUUUGUCUGGGAUCAGUCCCAUGAAGGAUUGAGUCUGAAAAUCUAAGUCAAAGCUAGUUUGAUUGCACUAGUACCAUCUCCGUGUUGCCUUGCAUUUUUUAUUGAGCUGUAAUGCUAUGUUUCCUACACGUAACAAUUCUAGGGAUAAUUUCAGAAACCUCCCCUGAGAUUUCUAACAGUUUCACUGCCCUUCUCCGAGGUUUCUAAAAUAUCAGAAACCUCCCCUACUAGGUCAUUGGGGUCCAAUUGUCACAUCAAUCAUGGAAGAAUGACUUAAUUACCCAUACAACUUAAGAGGUAUUUCCCAAUUAUGUUCACAUGAUUAGUUAAACUGUUAUUAACUAGAUUUAACAGAAAUGAUGACAAUUUAUAAGUUUUUUUAAAAAAUUUCUAACAUGCCAUUACAAAAAGGGGGCCAUAUAUAGGCACCUUUCUAUGAUUGAUAAUUGAUGUAUGCGAGUAGAAGCAAUGAUUCAAACUUUAGUGUUUUUUGUGGAAUAAGAGAAAUAGAGCUUCUUUAGGUAUAUCUAAGGAUUUAGGAGAUUUGAAAAGGAGAUUUGCUCUUAAAUUUUUUUCAAAAUUUUGGUGAUUGUGAAAAUUUCAAGAUCAGCCUCUAAGAUUUUUCUGCUAUUAAAUUUUGGAAAUUUUUAUUAUUUGAUUGCAGUUGUUAAGGUAAUUCUUGAUGGUGAUGCUUAAUAGUGACCCUACAAGUGAAAAAGAAUAGUUUGGAUCAAACAAAAAAAGGAAAAUAUGAUUUUAUGUAGUUUGUAUUAUGUUCGGUAUGAUCUGCUCCAUUUGAUGAUUGGUAUUUAAUUAUAGUGUUUUUUCUUUUUUAUCCUAAUUAUUACUUUUAUUGUCAUCGAAAUUAGGUGCUGGUUUUGUAUGAAAUAUACGUAAAGAUUGUUGGUUGUAUGCUACUAAAUUGAAAAACCUUUUAAUUAUGACAAUUUUUUUCUUGUUUGUGAUUAUUCAACAAAUGUUUUUUUUUAAAUCGAAAUGUUGGUUGUAAUAGGAUUCACAUGCUUUGUUUCUCUUGUAGGAGAUUAUGCAAUUGAUGUGUUAUAAUAGAUGUAAUAGUAUGAUAUUACACAUGCAAUAUGUAGAUAAGAUUUUGAGUUGCUAAACUUGUUGUAGAGUUAGUAAAUUGAUAUUUUGUUUACGCUCUAUGAAUACGGUAACAAUUACACCGUCUCAAAUUUGAUAAAGUUAAAAUAGAUAUAUAUUGUUCGUAGGAAAUUAACUAUCUAAUGCAAAACUUGAGGGUAGUUAUGGAAUUUGACAGGUGCCGAACUUGUGCAAUAAUAAUUACUAAAAAGUCCUAAUUACCAUCACAAUUAAUUAUAGAACGAAUUCAAGUACUGGAGCAGGACCCUAGGUGAGCAAUGGGUUACUUGAUUCACCAUGUUCCCAAAGAGUUUGCUUGAUCCGAUAUACCAGAAUUGUCUAUAAAAAUACUAAGUUUGCAUACAAUGGCAAGUAGGGUCGAUUCCACAAGGAACGGGUAGGAAGUUGUUUCCUUCCAAGUCAAUAGAAUAAAAAAGAGGGACAAUUAAUGGGAUGAAACUAAAAAUAAAAUAAAUAAAAUUCAAGAGCUAACUCAACAACAAUUUAGUAAAAAUAGCAAUUAAUAAAAUUCUACCCAAAUGAUUAACUGCUCAGGCACGGUCCAAUUAAAUGAUCAUCGAUGCAAAGAUAUUUCAUUCAUCUGUCAUUAGGUUGGUUAUAGCUAUCAACAAGCUUUGACAACCAGUUCUUCCUUACUUUUUCGACAGUCAAGGUACGACCAUUGACUGUUUCUCUAACCAGAAAACAACUCUAGGUACGACCGUAAGAAUUUAAUUAUCCAAUUGGAUUAAAACUAGAAGAACCCAACCCUGAUCAAUAAGCACGCUAAGAGGGUUUAUUUAAAUCAGAUCUUACGUUUCUCCAACAUAAAGCCAAUUAUGGUGGUUGUUACUAGUUGUCAACUAAACGAAUAAUUACGGAUUCAAUUUAAUUAACGUGGCAGUAGGCUAUUAUGUUAAAUCAAAUACCCGACCGUUGAUAUCCAAUUAAUAAAAUACUCAUGAACAAUUAAUUCAGGAAACGUACGAAUAGCAAUAAGUUGGAAGAAAUAAUGAAAAUUCGAUUAGAUGUUACAGAUAUUAUGAACCGUGCUUUCGCGUCGACCUUCGGGUAGAGGAGAAAUCUAGCCGCUCCUUAUCAUAUCCAUCUCGCGUGAUUUAAUUGAAACCAUUCAAUUAAUUCCCGAAAAAUUGGGAAAGAUGAAACAACGAGGAAAACGAAUAAAAGGGCUUAAGUAUCUCUUGGUCUCUGUGUUUGUACUGGAGCAAGAAAGUAAAAGUAAAGCACUAGAGAAAGUCGGCUGCCAAAAGACAAGAGCCAAGCCGCCCGUAAGAAAUUGUCUAAUAGGAAGAGACAAAAGCUACAACUAUGAAGGUCGCGUGAUUCUGGCUUCUUAAUUGCUGCCGAAGAGAAAAAAAGGAAAAGAAAACGUCUGACACUAAAAAGCAAAAGCUAAUCUAAUUACAAAGACGUAAAUCUGGCUUUUUUCCUCUCUUUUGUAGCGGCGCCAGGAGAAAUCCACGAAAGGUCAGGAGCAAAGCUUUUCUUUUUGGGGUUUUAAUCCCAUGCCUCUCGUGGUUCACGUGGACCCAACCUCCUAAUUGCUCACUUUUUGCUGCCACCAAGCUCGCGGGUCCGGCUUUAGAUAUAUCUCCUCACUUUCUGGCGUGGCACGUCAUGAAACAAAGAGUCUUUUGGAAAUUUUUCUCGCGCGAUCACUUUUAACACCAAUCACCUACAAUUGAUACAAAUAUGAAAUAUGAGCAAAUUCUCAAUUCUUAGCAUCAUGAGUAGCCAAAAUUAGGACAGAAUAAUAGUGCAAAAUAUGCCCAAUAAUUGCUCUAUCAGAAUUAAAUUGUUUUCUCUCUUCUAAUACCAAUUUUAUAUUAUUUUUGUAUUUGAAUUGGGCUGAUUGUUACUAGCUAAUUAGCUUUAGGGGUGGUUUCCGAUAUUUUGAAAACCUCAGUGAGAUUGUCAAAAACCUCAGGGGAGGUUUCUGAAAUUAUCCCAUAAUUCUAUCUACGUCUAAUACUAUUUAUACUAAGAGGGUUGCUCACGAUAAAUGUUCUAACAUUAUCAUACACCUCCUCUUAUCCCUUCAUUUGUAUUUCUAUCUUAUUUACAGAAUCAAGAUAAUAGUAUAAAAAAUUCAAUCCCAUUGUACUAUUGAAUCAUGACGUGCAGGAAAAAAGGAAGAAGUAAAGAUAAAACGAAUGAGUAGCACAGUAUUCACCUUUAAUCCAUGCUUUAGACUAGCAGAAAAUAAUGCAAAUUUUGUCAACAGCAAAUGUUAUCAGCGGGAACCGACACAUCAUCCGGAACAAUGGAAUGGGCACUCUCCCUGCUGCUCAACAAUCCACAAGUUCUAAAGAAAGCCCAGCAAGAAAUUGACGCGUACGCUGGCCAAUCAAGGCUUAUCAAUGACUCGGACUUGGGUCAGCUGCCUUAUCUUCAUGCAAUUAUUAGUGAAACACUUCGCAUUUGCCCGGUGGCCCCUAUUCUGGUGCCUCAUGUGUCAUCCCAAGAGUGUUGUGUUGGAGGCUACAAUAUCCCCGGUGGCACGUUGCUGUUAGUGAACUUAUGGGCAAUGCAAAAUGAUCCCAAGGUUUGGGAAGAACCCACAAAAUUUAGGCCUGAGAGGUUUAUAAGUUUGGAAGGGCAAAGAGAUGGAUUUGUGUUCAUGCCAUUUGGGUUUGGCCGAAGGGGAUGUCCUGGCGAAAAUUUGGCCAUGAGCGUUGUGGGGUUGACAUUGGGGUUGCUUAUUCAAUGUUUUGAGUGGGAAAGAGUUGGGGAAGAGUUGGUGGAUAUGACUGAAGGGGCAGGGCUUACCAUGCCAAGGGCUAAAGAAUUGAUGGCCAAGUGUAAACCACGGCAAGAAAUGGUCAAACUUCUUUCUCAAUCGUGAUUGGGAUUUCAGAAGUUGGUACCUCUAAGAAAAAAACCCAUCGCAGUGAUGACAACAUUGUGAACAAAGUGUGCUUGUUUUGCCAUUAUUUUUGUGAUUCUAUACCUUCUUGUAUGUGGAAUAAAGGAUUUGAUUAAAAGUUUAAAAUACGGUUAGAGACACCUUAUUUUAAUUUAGUACGUUUUAUUGUAGGAAUAGAUGCAUAUGCAUACCUUUUUAUUUUGAUAGGUGAAAAUAAAACAACAAAAAAAAGACUUACAAAUAUGUUAGAUCUUCAAUGUUCAUGAAUAAAACUCUCUCUCUUUUUUUUUCACUUUUACUUCCUUUUGGAAAAGAAUUAAAACUCUUCUUUUUUUUUUUUACAGUUUUUUAUUUGUUCAUGAUGUGGGAGGUCUAUGUUCAUUUGAAAUCAAGAGCUCACCCCAACUUUUGUAGAAACUAGAGGGGAAGUUAGUGUAGUUUACCAACAAGAUACGUGUCUACUUACUUGAAUAACCAGUAAUAAGAUUUAAGGAAGAAAAACUUGGGCUACUCCAGUUAGCAAUGCCCAAGUAUCAAAAAAUGAAGAGCCCAAAUUCAUGUGAAAAUGUAUACAUGUUCUUGGUUAAUUUCACAAUAAACUUGUAAUCCUUUUUUUUGGCAAUUCAAAUUAAAUUCCAUUUUGCCUUUGGAUAUAACCAAGAGUUAUGUCCCUUUUAAUGAAUCUAGUAUAUUUUGGAGGGCUUUACUACUUCAAAUUUUUUUUUAAAAAUUUUAUCAGUAGUAAUCAUGAAAAAUAAAUCAUUUUCAACUAUGUAGUACUGAAAGAAACAUGCGACAGAAAAGAGUGGCAUCUCCAUAUAUUUUCUGAGCGUCAAAAUAAAAUUAUAAACUUUCUACCACUAACUCUUUUAUCUAAACCAUGCAAUUUUGCGUGCAUCAAAAUAGCGUAAUUAUUCAGUUUUCGUGUAAGGAAAUGAAAAUCUUAGGACUUGCUAGGAAAAACAUGGCGGUCUGGCUUCAGUGAAAUAUUUUUGCUAGAAAAUGUCGACUAACUUACCUACCUUUUAAUUCUUAUACUCUUUUCGUCCCAUUGAAAGUGUUAUACUUUUAUUUUAGAAUGUCUCAAAAUAUUUGUUCUGUUAAUAAAGUCAAAAUAUAUUUUAGUCUCUCUCUUCAACAUAGUUCAUCUCUCUAAUCAUAUACACGUUACCAUUCAAAUUCAAAUGUUGAAUUUGUAGGAAUAAAAUUGAAAAGAGAAGCACAAACAUCACAAUCAAACCACUAUUUUUAAAAAGUUUGAUUUUUGAAACAGAACCAAAUAAUUAGGACGGAAGGAGUAUAAACUAAAAUGAAAAAGGAAGUCUAGUGAUAAUUGAACCGUCAAAUAUCAUAAACCUUUUCAUAAAAUUGCUGGCUGAUCAGUAUAGCAAGUAGAUGAUGAUGCUUGUGUAGUUGCUAUCAUCCUUAGGUAUGAAAUUUUUCAUGAAGACCCCUUAGUAAUAAGUUUCUGAAUAGCUUCCCACAAAAGUUUCCGGGAGGUAAAUUAACAAUCUUUUGCAUUACUUUGGCCCCGGAGACAUGACAAUAAUAUCUUAGACGAAAGAACUUAGCCCCGACAAAUAUCAUGAACUUAUUGACAAUAGGUGGCUUAAUUUGUAAGAAAUAAAAAAUUAUUUAAAAAUAAGAAAAAAAAAUUAUUUAACGAAAUGCAAGUAACAUCUUGAACGAUUUUUCCUUAUUAACUCACAAAGUUAAGUUCCACUGUGGUACUUGCCAAUGGAACAAAGUUGACAGCAAAUCUUGUUGGUUGAAUGAGUCUCCUGACACAGCGUAUUAAGCAAUAAGCAUUCAUUGGUAUACCCAAACCUAUUACUCUGUAUAAGUGUACGUAUCAUAUUCACCCGUACCGUACGUCUCUUUCUACAUUUAGACACUCCCAUAUUUCUAUAUUAAUUUCACUUUUGCUAAAGGAUUACUGGGUAAAGUGUAAAGCACGGCAAGAAAUGGUUAAACUUCUUUCUCAAUUGUGAUUUGUGGGACUGUUUAACUGUCAAAAUUAAUGUGAAAACGUAUGAGAAAGUAGAAUCCUCGAAAUCCUUUAUUUUUUCAAAAUUUAGUUUUUUAAAUACUAAAAAUUUUUAAAAAUACUCUAAAAAGUAAUCUAAAUUUUUUUAAUGUUUAAAAAAUAUUCCAAAAUAUAUUUUAAAAACUCUACUACUCUUAAAUAUUUCAAAAUAUUUUCUAAAAAUAUUUCAAAAUAUACUCUAAAAACUCUGCUACAGUAAAGUUUUCAAAAAAUAUCUCAAAAAACAGCUAAUCCAAACGGAGUAAUUGAUAAACCCUAAGACAUUUAGAUGGUGAAGAAAAAGUAAAAUUAACACCACUCUUUUAACUGUUGGAAUACUUUCAAGGUACUAAAUUAUACCUUCUUAGUACCACUCGAAAGAAAGAAAAACAAGCCUUGGAAAGAAAUAGUAUCUAGAAUAAAUCUACUGCACAAUUUGGGAAUUAUUCAUCAUUCGAUCAAGUGAUGAAUAAAUCAUACGCAAGUUCAUGUAUUAGCAGAUUAAUUAUUGAAUCUAUUCAUAAAUCAGAGGAUUGCGACACAAGGAAACUUGCAGAAUUGGACAACUAUAUGGUCCCGAAGAAAAGAAAUUGACUUGCUUCAAGAUUUCCACAAACUUGGAGCGGGGGGCGAGUGGUGACGGACGACUAAGGAACUCAAGAAAGUUAAAAUAGCCAAUUACGCAAAGUUUUGGAUCCAUUAGUUGAUUGACUGACUUCUAUUGCUAGCCGGUCAAUGCCCCCUUUUAUAAAUCAACAAGAACUUUUCCAUGGAAAAUGUGUCUCUCAUUUUGGCCAAAAUUUCCGAAUCAAUACCUUCAGUCUCCGGUCAAAUGAAGUCGUAACUUGAUAAGCUUACAAGACUUUCGUUUUCCUUCUAGAAAAAAAAAAAGAAUAAAAUAAUUCCCUUGCCCUUCAACAACCUCAACAAUAAGGUUCACUAUGAGAGAAAUUUUUUUUCCAUCUAACACACUUACGUUACUCCUAAUUCAUUGCAUAAAUACGUACAAUCACAGUUAUUGAACUUAGUAUAUUUUAGUAAUUUUUUAAAUUAAUUAUCUUAUUUUUAAAAAAUUAAUACCUGAGACUCUUAUUAACGAGUGUCGACUGAAUACCUGAUAUCAAACCGAUCGAUGCUGUAGAUAGAGAAUGGUUGUUUGCAUGGAAACCAAAUCUUUUUUUUUUUUUUUUUAUUUGCUCCUUCCCCUCUUAUACAACCACCAUAUGUAGAAAGUUGAGUUCUUGGAAUCCUCCAGUGACACAGGUAUGCUGGUAAGCAAAGCACUUGAAUAUCUUCCAGAAGAAAGAUAUGUCGCGCAGCCUUAAUUGACGAAGUAAUCUCGUCAACUUUUUUUUUAAAAAUUUUGUACUGUAUAGAAAUUCCCCGGAGUUGGAGGGGCAGUUGCUUCUAAUCAAAAUAUGCUUCACACUUCACGCCACACGCACACGGUUAGGACCAGAAGUCUCAUAUGCCCUUUUCGGUGCAUUUCGUCUAAAUUCUUUUGUAGCGUGAGAAUUUAUUUAUUUAUUUAUUUUUUAAAAAUGGCUACCUAUUUUUAUUGCUUAAUUAACGAUGCUUUCGGUGCGUUUGAGUUUUCAAGAAAAUGAAUUUGAAGAGUAACAAACAUUAAGAUUAUUUGAAAUAUAUUAUUUUUUUUAAAAAUACUGUAUGAGAUAAAAAGUUGAUGCACUGACAGUAUAUACACUUUUAUCAUUAUUAGAUGCAUGACACAUAAUUUGAAUUUAAAUUUGAAACUCAAAUUUUGCAUAUGUGUCGUAUAUCCAACCGUAAUAGUGUAUACAUCGUUAGUAUACAUAAGAUUUACUCUUUGAAGUUUUAAUCUAUCCUUUGGUUUCCCAUUCUCGUGACAAAAGCACAGCUGCGCGAAUCAGUAAAAUUGGACGUAGUAAUUUGCUGUAAUGUGCAAAACCGAACUUACCUCCAUUUAGGGUUCUUGUCUAUAGAUUGACCAUGUGGUUCGGCAACACUUUUAGUGCAAAAAUUUUCAGCAUGCAACAGUCGUCCAUAGCUUAAGUGAGUUAGGCGCAGCACAUUGUUUGGCCCCGUUCCAUAUGACUUCAUUUCGUUGCCAACUUUUCUUGGAGGACUGGAAUCUCAUUAAAUAGAUCCAGCACGAUUGGUCCACGACAAUUAUUUGGUUCUGCUUUGCUGUCGUGAACUUGUGCAUUGAUUCUGUGCUUUAAUUUCUCUUGAUUUGUAGAAAAUUUGCUAGUUUUUAACUGCAAGAUUUUGUUACUCCGAAGAUUUUUAAUUUUUAUGCAGGAAAAAAAAACGCACUUCCAAACUCUGGGUACAAUAUUUGAAAAAAAAAAAGGGUAGAUGACAGGUAAGCUAAGUAGUGGUUUAGUGCCACUAUUGAAAUGUAAAAACCUCCAACCCUACACUUUUCCGACCCAUGCACCGCUCCCCGUGCCCGAACCCAAGAAGAUUUGUACAAGAAAACAGAAAAACUUUGGUGGGGUCUUGCUCGCACUAAUUUGUCACGAUUAAAUGUAUUCUUGUUUAAAAAAUUCAUGCAGAUGUGUAGUGCAUUCGUCUGAUCUGGUGGUGAUUUAAUCCUCUUCGAAUUAUUCUUGAACCUCUUCAGGUCCUAUUCCUCCUCCAUACUAUAGGAAGUUAUCGUAUCGAAAAAAAAAAAACAGAAAAAUCUCAACUCAUUAGCCUUAUUUAAUUUGAUUUGAAGCAUAAUUUUCUUGAAGAAGAGGGGCCGGGCCACACUGAUUGUAUUAGAGCAUCCACAAUGCUAUUACACUUUGUGGAGUGUAAUCCACAUGCCACGUCAGCAUUCCACUUUCUCCUCUUUUAUUACACUUUCACUCACAAUGGAUUACACUCCACAAGGUGUAAUAGCAUGGGUCCACAAUUAAUCAAAUAUUUAUUUUAAUAAUGCAUAACUCAUAUCCCAUAAAUAAAUAAAGUAAUUUUUAAAACUAAUUUUGUUAUUUUUAAAAAAUAAAGUACUAACUUUCGUUAAAUUUUGUACAUUUUGAAUUUUUUUAUUUUCUAAAAAUGAUAUUAUUAAUUUUUAAGUUUGAAUAAUAUAUCUUUUUCUAUGUUUCAAAAAUAAUAUAUUGUUAUUUUUUAAAAAAUAAUUAUGUAGGAAAUUAAACAAAUAUUUGAUACUUCAAAUGCGAAGAUAUCAUAAUAAUUCAUACUUAAUUAAUAAUUCGGAAUGUAAUUAGUUGAACUCCAUAACAUAAUAUUACAUAAGUUAAAUCAAAUAAAAUACAAAUAAUAACAAAAUGAAUACUAAUUUUCAUUGUCAUUGCCUUCGAAUCGUUCCCAAAUAUGCUCGACCAAGUCUGAUCGAAGUUGAUCGAAGUCUGAUCCCAAAUAUGCUUUGUGCUGGAAUUUUAUCGUUGUCAUAGGGCCCACAUUCAAUGGAUUACACGCAUCAUACAUGUGAUGCGUGUAAUCUCCAUGACACGGCUCCAGCGGUGUAAUGGCUCCCCGUUACUGAUUACACCCCCAUUGGAGCUGCCCUUAUGUAUAGUAUAGCUCGUAAUGGUUUUAAUCUACUCAUAACAAAUUCACUCUCCCAAACUCAAAAGUCAUCUUUGUAUAUAGAAUUUAGCCAACGAUUAUAAUUGCACAUUUUAAUAGGAAGUUUCAUAGGCUGGCUGUCAAUUGCAACCUUACAAGAAAACGAGAUGAAGACCACUCAGAGUCACAAGUCCAACAAUAAAUCCACUAACUCUCAUUAAUUAAACCCCAUCCAUCAUUCAAUCCCAAAUAAACCAGCAAGAAAUCCGCAACUAUCCAUGGAAGCCUUGUGUCUCUACCUUCCACUUUUCCUAGCAUUAUACAUCUUCACCAAGCACUUCCUCAACAAAAUCCGAAACCUUCCACCUAGUCCCAUCCUUAAUCUCCCCGUCCUCGGCCACCUCCUCCUCAUCAAGAAGCCUCUUCACCGAGGCCUAGCCAAGAUUUCCAACCGUCAUGGCCCGGUCCUCCUCCUGGAAUUCGGCUCACGCCCAGUCCUCCUUGUCUCCUCC